RNAcentral lists this ribosomal RNA (253 nucleotides) under uncultured bacterium. RNAcentral describes it as "partial 16S ribosomal RNA". It matches the Rfam family "Bacterial small subunit ribosomal RNA", at positions 524 to 776 of the family's 1533-position model. The record is from RNAcentral.
UACGUAGGUGGCAAGCGUUGUCCGGAAUUACUGGGCGUAAAGCGCACGUAGGUGGCUUGUCAAGUCGGGUGUGAAAUCCCCGGGCUCAACCUGGGAACUGCAUUCGAGACUGCCUUGCUAGAGUAUGGGAGAGGGAAGUGGAAUUUCCGGUGUAGCGGUGAAAUGCGUAGAUAUCGGAAGGAACAUCAGUGGCGAAGGCGACCUCCUGGGCCAAUACUGACGCUCAGGUGCGAAAGCGUGGGGAGCAAACAGG